This 180-nucleotide ribosomal RNA is filed under the name Staphylococcus simiae. RNAcentral's name for it is "partial 16S ribosomal RNA". It matches the Rfam family "Bacterial small subunit ribosomal RNA", at positions 1 to 175 of the family's 1533-position model. Lineage: Bacteria; Bacillati; Bacillota; Bacilli; Caryophanales; Staphylococcaceae. The record is from RNAcentral.
UUUAUGGAGAGUUUGAUCCUGGCUCAGGAUGAACGCUGGCGGCGUGCCUAAUACAUGCAAGUCGAGCGAACAGAUGAGAAGCUUGCUUCUCUGAUGUUAGCGGCGGACGGGUGAGUAACACGUGGAUAACCUACCUAUAAGACUGGGAUAACUUCGGGAAACCGGAGCUAAUACCGGAUA